This 2564-nucleotide long non-coding RNA is filed under the name Trifolium pratense (red clover). RNAcentral's name for it is "long non-coding RNA (TPRA_LNC002454)". The record is from RNAcentral. Lineage: Eukaryota; Viridiplantae; Streptophyta; Magnoliopsida; Fabales; Fabaceae.
AAAUGAAACAAUGAGUGAUACACUAUAAUGAUUUUUGAGCUCAAACUGUUUUGUGUGCUUGUCUUUGUGACUUCAGGGAAUGCUCAUGGUGGGGAUAGUGGUGUGGAGUUGAAUUUCCCAGAAGGGAUGGAGGGGCCAGUGAAAGUGAAGGUUUUCACAUUUCCAGAAAAUUUAGCUUCUUCCGAAGAGGAAGAAGGGUGAACUAUAACUUAGCUCACCCAGUUGCUGUGGUGAGGCAGCUUAUUCUUUAGCUUGGAAGUUUAUUUUUUGUGUGUGCUUUUGUUUGCUGACGACAUUAUACUAGCUGAAAUCAUUGUUUGUUGACGGGCAACAUAGGAAAUGAUAAUGGGUUUCAAAUCAAAAUUAAGAGAGAAGGGGAUGAGGGAGAUUUUCAAGUUUCCUAUGAGUGUACUAAUUUUCUAACUCGUAUCUUUAUACUUUUUAUUUACAACUUCCCUUUUUUUUUUUUUUACUAAUUUUAAUGCUAGCUUUUGAAAGGAUAUAUGUAUAACUAAAGGGGAGUGACGAGAUUAAAUGUCAUGAAAAAUAUGACGAUGAUAAUUUUAAAAUGUGUAUAGGCUUCAUUCUUUCAUCUUAUAUUGCUUAGGCUAUGAGCCUGUUUGAAUUGACUUAUUUGAACUUAUCUACUCUACUGACAUAAGCACUUGUGAUACAGUUUGGGAGAACUAUGAAAACAGCUUAUGACAUGUUCAUAAGCUGUUUUCAGCUUAUUUUCAUAAGCUCUCCAAGAUAGCUUAUGAAAACAGCUUAUAGCUUAUAUGGAAACAAUUUAUCUUUAUUUUAUCUUGUGUUAUAAAAAUAGGUUAUACACAAGCGCUUAUGCUAUAAGUUGUAAAUUAAGCGGCUUGGAUAAACAGGCCCUAUGUCCCUCCUUUUUUAGUUACUAUGUAAACUAAUGGUAACCAGGAGAAGAAUCCAGUUCCUCUAUAGUGAACUAAAUUUUAGAUAUGCUAAAAUAUUAGCUUUUGAUUUUCUCAUCAACAGUCAAAUAUAUUAUCCUUUAAAGUAUAAAGUGAUAGUUCACUCUAGAGGAGUCAAAUCCCUUUCUCCAAUAAACCUUGAGCGCUUAUUUGAGUCGCAUUGCUCAUCUAACAUGGGUUUUAGAAACUUUUUGAAGGAAAAGAAACUCCCCAUACUUUCGGUAGCAUAUAACACCUAAAGAGUAUUACUUGUGAUUAUAUAACCCGAAGGUAACAAACAUCCUUAGCAGGUUGAAGUUCCCGAUAAAGCAUAGUUUGAUACAUAAACUUUAUAAGAUUUAAAUUUGUUAAAAACAAAUGUAAAGAUAAAAUCCAUAAACAAGGAAAGAUUUCAAAAUCCUAAAUUAUGAACAAAUUCUCAGGUCAAAAACAACCCAAACGCUCCUAAUCUAUUAUGUGUCACUGUGUCCUCCUUUCUUUGCAAUUUAAUUUUACUACUCAAUUUUGUGAAUGGUGCUUUUAUUUACUAACUUGGAUCACAUUUGCUAAAUCUUAUAAAAAACAAUCCUAGUCCCAUUAUACACAAUUGUAUAUGGUUAUCUUCAUGUAUCCACAGAAAUACUAGUUACUACUAGUACAGUAAUUUUGUAUUAUAGGACAACAGAAAUAUGUGUUAUCAAUCUUAGCAGACGUGUCUAUUGACAUUACAAGUCUUUCUGUAAAUUUACAAAUGUUAGCAGUAAAGGUGUUGUAUUGUAUUUCUUUUUCCAAACUACUGUGAAAUGAUUCUAAGUUUGAUGGCAGAUAAAAGUGUGCCUAUUUUAUCAUGAAUGUCUUGGGAAAUAUAAGCUAGAUAAAAUACAAUACUAUAAGAAACUGAAAAAGUGUUAACAACUGCAUUGUGUCAAAUGUAAUGUUUACAAGAUUGUGUUAUCAAUAUUUCUGUUUUCAAGCAUAUUUCAAAUUUCAUUAUGUCUAAUUUUUUGUUUUGGAAACUGGUUACAACUCAAAAUGAAAGAGAUCUAUAGUUUUUGGUGAUCAUAUGAUUUUUCUGUUCAGAUUGUUGCAUUAUAUAUUGAGUAUGAUUUACAUAUUUGCAUGUCCAUCUAUAUAAUACCAUCCUAAGCACUAAUUAUGUAGGAUUUUCAUGGUGCAGCCUAAGCUCGACGAGAAGUCCAAAAAAAGUGAGGAAACAAAAAACUAAGCUAUUUGGAGUUUGAGAAGGGCGAUGCAAGCAAAUGGAAAUUUCUGCAGAUGCAAGCACUGGUGAUAGUUCUGGAAUUAACCUUCUCACUCUACAUGGUCUCGACUUUGAUCUGUUUAAUCAGUAUAUGUUGAAUAUUUGCAAUGUUGUUAUUAUGUUGAAUCAUUGUAGGGUGAAAUGUAUGUAUUUUAUGGAACUAAUAAAGUUAAAGCUUGAUGGAGUAUUUCUCGGAACUAGCAAGCACACCCUCAGUUUAGUGCAUAUAUUAUGUUGUAAAUAUAUCUAUUACUAAUAAACAUUUCUUUGGUUACUCGUUCCUACAAUUGAUUGACUUACACUAUUUUUAGAUAGGGUGUAUGUGUGUUAAGGAGUUAGUUUUCCAUUGAAAGGAUAUACAGAAAGCAAACAUGUUUGGUUAA